AUUGUUAUAAUUAAUUAUAUUAUUGAUAGUAUUUUUAUUUAAUUUAAAUAUUUUAUUUAAAUAUAAUUUAUAAUUUUAAAAAAUUAGUAAUACUGAUUAAAUUAGUAUAAAAUUAUUUAAAAUUAAUUUUAUUAAAUUAAGGUUAAUUUAAGGAAUUCGGCAAAUUUAUUUUUCACCUGUUUAUUAAAAACAUGUCUUUUUGAUAAUAAUUUAAAGUCUAAUCUGCCCACUGAGAUUUUAAAUGGCCGCGGUAUUUUGACCGUGCAAAGGUAGCAUAAUAAUUAGUUUUUUAAUUGAAAGCUGGAAUGAAUGAUUGAAUGAGAAAAUAACUGUCUCAAAUUAAUUUUUUAUAGAAUUUUAUUUUUAAGUUAAAAAGCUUAAAUUUAAUUAAAAGACGAGAAGACCCUAUAGAGUUUAAUAUAUUAAUUUAUUAAAAUUAAUAGUUUUUAUUAUUUAAAUUUAAGAUAUAUAUUUUGUUGGGGUGAUAGAAAAAUUUAUUAAACUUUUUUUAAUUUUUUUCAUUAUUAAAUGUUUUUUUGAUCCAUAAAUAAUGAUUAUAAGAGUAAAUUACCUUAGGGAUAACAGCGUAAUUUUUUUAAAGAGUUCAAAUCGAAAAAAAAGAUUGCGACCUCGAUGUUGGAUUAAAGUUAAUUUUUGGUGUAGAAGCUAAAAUAUUAGGUCUGUUCGACCUUUAAAACUUUACAUGAUCUGAGUUUAAACCGGUGUGAGCCAGGUUGGUUUCUAUCUUUAAUUAUUUAAUAUAUUUUAGUACGAAAGGACCAAAUAUAAAUUAUAAUAAUUUAUUUUUGAAUAUUAUU
RNAcentral lists this ribosomal RNA (818 nucleotides) under Cleroidea sp. 1 KM-2017. Its description in RNAcentral is "partial 16S ribosomal RNA". The stretch from base 578 to 736 matches the Rfam family "Bacterial large subunit ribosomal RNA", at positions 2473 to 2632 of the family's 2925-position model. The record is from RNAcentral. Lineage: Eukaryota; Metazoa; Arthropoda; Insecta; Coleoptera.